This is a long non-coding RNA of Dipodomys spectabilis (banner-tailed kangaroo rat), 101 nucleotides long. RefSeq lists it as uncharacterized. The record is from RefSeq and is a predicted model, not a curated record. NCBI's taxonomy places the organism in Eukaryota, Metazoa, Chordata, Mammalia, Rodentia, Heteromyidae. The transcript is spliced from 3 exons.
UCUUAUAGACUUUCCUGUCAGGGCUGGCUUUGAACUGUGAUCCUCAGAUCUCAGCUUUCUGACUAACUAGGAUUACAGGUGUUAUCCACUGGCACCGGGCU